RNAcentral lists this ribosomal RNA (253 nucleotides) under uncultured bacterium. RNAcentral's name for it is "partial 16S ribosomal RNA". It matches the Rfam family "Bacterial small subunit ribosomal RNA", at positions 524 to 776 of the family's 1533-position model. The record is from RNAcentral.
UACAGAGGGUGCGAGCGUUGUCCGGAAUCACUGGGCGUAAAGCGCACGUAGGCGGAUAUUUAAGUCAGGGGUGAAAUCCCAGAGCUCAACUCUGGAACUGCCUUUGAUACUGGGUAUCUUGAGUAUGGAAGAGGUAAGUGGAAUUGCGAGUGUAGAGGUGAAAUUCGUAGAUAUUCGCAGGAACACCAGUGGCGAAGGCGGCUUACUGGUCCAUUACUGACGCUGAGGUGCGAAAGCGUGGGGAGCAAACAGG